CUCAUCUUUAUCGUCGCAUUACGUCGCUUCUGUUCCAUGGCCGUUGUCUGUUCCAAUUCCAUCGCCUGUGCUCCACUGCUCCCUCUCCCUCAACUCGGGACUCAACAAGUCAUUCAUAGAGGGAAUAAAGAGGGAAGAGAGGAAUUGCUUGUAGUGUUACAGAGCCACAUUUAGAUCUUGAGGGUGACAAUGAGGAGGGUCAACAAGAUUUCACGUUCAGAAAUCAGAGGAGGAAUGGUGGGACAUUCUCUGUCUGUCUCUGCCUGUCUCCCUCAUGAAUUCACAGACAGUAGAGAGAGGGCAAGGAAUAGAGGAAUAGCCAAAGCACCAGGGAGCAAAAACAGGAGCGUUCUUCAAGUUUUUGGCUCUUCAUCAACCAUAUCACCAAGCGAAAGAGAAUGAUGGCCAAGGAGGGAGCUGACUGAAGCUUAAGAGGGAGCUGCGUUCCACUCACCCAACUGUUCUUCGAGUUUCUUUGCUAGUUUAUUCAAUUUCUGUUAACACAA
This is a long non-coding RNA of Arachis duranensis, 506 nucleotides long. RefSeq lists it as uncharacterized. The transcript is spliced from 4 exons. NCBI's taxonomy places the organism in Eukaryota, Viridiplantae, Streptophyta, Magnoliopsida, Fabales, Fabaceae. The record is from RefSeq and is a predicted model, not a curated record.